Molecule: small nucleolar RNA, 112 nt
Filed under: Microtus ochrogaster (prairie vole)
Lineage: Eukaryota; Metazoa; Chordata; Mammalia; Rodentia; Cricetidae
Description: Small nucleolar RNA SNORA61 (ENSMOCG00000011499.1)
Source: RNAcentral
AAAGAUAGGUUUCCUAUCGGAUCUUGGUGGUCGUAAAGGAGGAAGAGCACACUGAAGCUAGCCCUAUGGCGAUAUGGUGUGCUAUAGAGCACUGGGUCAGAUUUAUUCAUGC